RNAcentral lists this ribosomal RNA (225 nucleotides) under Zethus mexicanus. RNAcentral's name for it is "partial small subunit ribosomal RNA". The record is from RNAcentral. Lineage: Eukaryota; Metazoa; Arthropoda; Insecta; Hymenoptera; Vespidae.
AUAUAUCAUUAAACUAAAUGAAUUUGGCGGUUAUUUUUAAAAUUAGAGGAACCUGUGGAGUAAUUGAUAAUCCACGAUAAGAUAAACUUAAUGGUUUAUGUAUUGUUGUUUUUAAUUAAGUUUUUAGAAUUUAAUAAAAAUUUUUAAAAAAAGUAAUUCAAAUCAAAAUAUAGCAUUUUUAAGCUAUGGGUUACAUUAUUAAAAUGAAAUUGGAUUUAAUAGUAA